UACGUAGGUGGCAAGCGUUGUUCGGAAUUAUUGGGCGUAAAGCGCGCGUAGGCGGCUAUCUAAGUCGGAUGUGAAAGCCCCUGGCUUAACUGGGGAAGUGCACCCGAAACUGGGUAGCUAGAGUGCAAAAGAGGGUCGCGGAAUUCCCGGUGUAGAGGUGAAAUUCGUAGAUAUCGGGAGGAACACCGGUGGCGAAGGCGGCGACCUGGGUUGACACUGACGCUGAGGCGCGAAAGCGUGGGGAGCAAACAGG
Molecule: ribosomal RNA, 253 nt
Filed under: uncultured bacterium
Lineage: Bacteria
Description: partial 16S ribosomal RNA
Rfam family: Bacterial small subunit ribosomal RNA
Source: RNAcentral